UACGUAGGGGGCUAGCGUUGUCCGGAAUUAUUGGGCGUAAAGAGCUUGUAGGCGGUUUGUCGCGUCUGCUGUGAAAAUUUCGGGGCUCAACCCCGAACUUGCAGUGGGUACGGGCAGACUAGAGUGUGGUAGGGGAGACUGGAAUUCCUGGUGUAGCGGUGAAAUGCGCAGAUAUCAGGAGGAACACCGAUGGCGAAGGCAGGUCUCUGGGCCACUACUGACGCUGAGAAGCGAAAGCAUGGGGAGCAACAGG
This 253-nucleotide ribosomal RNA is filed under the name uncultured bacterium. RNAcentral's name for it is "partial 16S ribosomal RNA". It matches the Rfam family "Bacterial small subunit ribosomal RNA", at positions 524 to 775 of the family's 1533-position model. The record is from RNAcentral.